CCUUUCACUAUGACUGUGUCUCCCUCCAUCAGUGCAGGCCACACGUGAUAUGCCACCAGUGGCGCAGUGAACUCUGAAUCGUAACUAC
Non-coding RNA from Pangasianodon gigas (Mekong giant catfish), 88 nucleotides. The record is from the annotation of a GenBank genome assembly. NCBI's taxonomy places the organism in Eukaryota, Metazoa, Chordata, Actinopteri, Siluriformes, Pangasiidae.